Molecule: ribosomal RNA, 253 nt
Filed under: uncultured bacterium
Lineage: Bacteria
Description: partial 16S ribosomal RNA
Rfam family: Bacterial small subunit ribosomal RNA
Source: RNAcentral
UACGUAGGGGGCUAGCGUUGUCCGGAAUCAUUGGGCGUAAAGCGCGUGUAGGCGGUCCGGUAAGUCCGCUGUGAAAGUCGAGGGCUCAACCCUCGAAUGCCGGUGGAUACUGUCGGGCUAGAGUGCGGAAGAGGCGAGUGGAAUUCCUGGUGUAGCGGUGAAAUGCGCAGAUAUCAGGAGGAACACCAGCGGCGAAGGCGGCGCUCUGGGCUGGAACUGACGCUGAGGAGCGAAAGCCAGGGUAGCAAACGGG